Non-coding RNA from Oncorhynchus mykiss (rainbow trout), 807 nucleotides. The record is from RefSeq and is a predicted model, not a curated record. Lineage: Eukaryota; Metazoa; Chordata; Actinopteri; Salmoniformes; Salmonidae.
UGUAGGCCAGGUUCAUUACAUUGUCUCUGUGUGUUCAUCGUGGUCUUCCUGCCAGGUAUAUGACAGUUAUAAUGUAGGCCAGGUUCAUGACAUUGUCUCUGUGUGUUCAUCGUGGUCUUCCUGCCAGGUUAUAAUGUAGGCCAGGUUCACGACAUUGUCUCUGUGUGUUCAUCAUGGUCUUCCUGCCAGGUUAUAAUGUAGGCCAGGAUCACAACAUUGUCUCUGUGUUCAUUGUGGUCUUCCUGCCAAGUAUUUGACAGUUAUAAUGUAGGCCAGGUUCACGACAUUGUCUCUGUGUUCAUUGUGGUCUUCCUGCCAGGUUAUAAUGUAGGCCAGGUUCACAACAUUGUCUAUGUGUGUUCAUUGUGGUCUUCCUGCCAGGUUAUAAUGUAGGCCAGGUUCACGACAUUGUCUCUGUGUUCAUUGUGGUCUUCCUGCCAGGUAUAUGACAGUUAUAAUGUAGGCCAGGUUCACAACAUUGUCUCUGUGUGUUCAUUGUGUUCUUCCUGACAGGUAUAUGACAGUCAUAACGUAGGCCAGGUUCACGACAUUGUCUCUGUGUUCAUUGUGGUCUUCCUGCCAGGUUAUAAUGUAGGCCAGGUUCACGACAUUGUCUAUGUGUGUUCAUCGUGGUCUUCCUGCCAGGUUAUAAUGUAGGCCAGGUUCACGACAUUGUCUCUGUGUUCAUUGUGGUCUUCCUGCCAGGUAUAUGACAGUUAUAAUGUAGGCCAGGUUCACGACAUUGUCUCUGUGUUCAUUGUGGUCUUCCUGCCAGGUUAUAAUAUAGGCCAGGUUCACGACAUUGUC